This 189-nucleotide ribosomal RNA is filed under the name uncultured Anoxybacillus sp. RNAcentral describes it as "partial 16S ribosomal RNA". It matches the Rfam family "Bacterial small subunit ribosomal RNA", at positions 1194 to 1382 of the family's 1533-position model. Lineage: Bacteria; Bacillati; Bacillota; Bacilli; Caryophanales; Anoxybacillaceae. The record is from RNAcentral.
UAUGCCCCUUAUGACCUGGGCUACACACGUGCUACAAUGGGCGGUACAAAGGGUCGCGAACCCGCGAGGGGGAGCCAAUCCCAAAAAGCCGCUCUCAGUUCGGAUUGCAGGCUGCAACUCGCCUGCAUGAAGCCGGAAUCGCUAGUAAUCGCGGAUCAGCAUGCCGCGGUGAAUACGUUCCCGGGCCUU